This 363-nucleotide ribosomal RNA is filed under the name uncultured bacterium. Its description in RNAcentral is "partial 16S ribosomal RNA". It matches the Rfam family "Bacterial small subunit ribosomal RNA", at positions 338 to 698 of the family's 1533-position model. The record is from RNAcentral.
CCUACGGGAGGCAGCAGUGAGGAAUAUUGGUCAAUGGACGCAAGUCUGAACCAGCCAUGCCGCGUGCAGGAAGACGGCUCUAUGAGUUGUAAACUGCUUUUGUACGAGGGUAAACGCAGAUACGCGUAUCUGUCUGAAAUUAUCGUACGAGUAAGGAACGGCUAACUCCGUGCCAGCAGCCGCGGUAAUACGGAGGAUUCAAGCGUUAUCCGGAUUGAUUGGGUUUAACGGGAGUGUAGGCGGUCGGUUAAGUCAGAGGUGAAAUCCCGAGGCUCAACUUCGGAAUUGCCUCUGAUACUGGUCGGCUAGAGAGUAGUUGCGGUAGGCGGAAUGUAUGGUGUAGCGGUGAAAUGCUUAGAGAUC